This is a long non-coding RNA of Phacochoerus africanus (Common warthog), 770 nucleotides long. RefSeq lists it as uncharacterized. The record is from RefSeq and is a predicted model, not a curated record. NCBI's taxonomy places the organism in Eukaryota, Metazoa, Chordata, Mammalia, Artiodactyla, Suidae. The transcript is spliced from 3 exons.
GUUGCCUCCUGAUUUGCAAGCUCAUAGUAUCUUGGCUCCUUCUGAAGAAGCUGACAAUUACCCAAUACUCCUUGCCAGCUGGCUUCAGCCAAUAAAAUUGCAGCAUGCAAAUACAGCAUCCUGCAGCUACUCUCUCCAUCAGGCCACUCCAAAGUAGGAGGGAUUUCCUCUAAGAGGGGAAAUUUGACUCUUAAGUGGAGAAAAGGAAAAAAAAAUUGGAAGGAUUUUCUUUAUGUUGGAGACAUUUCUGCUGCUCAUUAGCAAGAAGAAAAGGAGGAGAAUGUCAACGGGUAUUGUUUUUUCCAGUGCUCCUUGUGUGGGAAAGCAUGUAUUUCAUCUUCUCUGGUGAGAGCAUGAGGUGCAGUCCAGGAGUCCACGUGAUGUUCUCUCUCCUGGAAUGGGGAUGUCUGGCCCGUGCCUGUCCCACCAUAGCAUUCUGGAAGCAUACUGCUUGGUUGGCUUCACAGUUUCCCAACUGAAGAGGAAUUUGUUUGGGGAUGAAUGUACCUGGAGUCUCAUCCACAUCUGACUUAGAUGAUCUUGAGCAAAGUGACCAGUUAUGCAUUCGAAGCCCUCUUUCUACAGGACCUUUAUAUGAAGAGACACAGAGCUUGCUUUCUCUCUCUGCCAUGUGGAUUCAAUGAGAAAAUGGCUGCCUGGGAACCAGGAUGAGGGCUCUCCCCAGACCUGGGAUUUGCCAACACCUCGAUCUUGGACUUCCAGCUUCUAGAACUGUGCGAAAUAAAAGUCUGUUGUUUGGGUCCUUCUAA